This 672-nucleotide ribosomal RNA is filed under the name uncultured Bacteroidota bacterium. RNAcentral describes it as "bacterial SSU rRNA". It matches the Rfam family "Bacterial small subunit ribosomal RNA", at positions 8 to 672 of the family's 1533-position model. The record is from RNAcentral. Lineage: Bacteria; Pseudomonadati; Bacteroidota.
AGAGUUUGAUCAUGGCUCAGGAUGAACGCUAGCGGCAGGCUUAACACAUGCAAGUCGAGGGGUAACAGGGAUUGCUUGCAAUCCGCUGACGACCGGCGCACGGGUGCGUAACGCAUAUGCAACCUACCUUCUACAGGGGGAUAGUCAAUAGAAAUGUUGAAUAAUACCCCAUACGAUCUUUGAAUAGCAUUAUUUAAAGAAGAAAGUUCCGGCGGUAGAAGAUGGGCAUGCGUCCUAUUAGUUAGUUGGAGAGGUAACGGCUCCCCAAGACAUCGAUAGGUAGGGGUCCUGAGAGGGAGACCCCCCACACUGGUACUGAGACACGGACCAGACUCCNGACGGGAGGCAGCAGUGAGGAAUAUUGGACAAUGGAGGCAACUCUGAUCCAGCCAUGCCGCGUGCAGGAAGACUGCCCUAUGGGUUGUAAACUGCUUUUAUACAGGAAGAAAUGUACCUACGUGUAGGUAUUUGACGGUACUGUACGAAUAAGGAUCGCCUAACUCCGUGCCAGCAGCCGCGGUAAUACGGAGGAUCCAAGCGUUAUCCGGAAUCAUUGGGUUUAAAGGGUCCGUAGGCGGUCUUUUAAGUCAGAGGUGAAAUCCUACAGCUCAACUGUAGAAUUGCCUUUGAUACUGAAGGACUUGAGUUAUUGUGAAGUANUUANAAUGUGUG